ACCAGACUCCUACGGGAGGCGGCAGUGGGGGAUAUUGCACAAUGGGGGGAACCCUGAUGCAGCGACGCCGCGUGGGUGAAGAAGCGCCUCGGCGCGUAAAGCCCUGUCAGCAGGGAAGAAAAUGACAGUACCUGAAGAAGAAGCCCCGGCUAACUCCGUGCCAGCAGCCGCGGUAAUACGGGGGGUGCAGGCGUUGUCCGGAUUUACUGGGUGUAAAGGGCGUGUAGCCGGGCUGACAAGUCAGAUGUGAAAUCCGGGGGCUCAACCCCCGAACUGCAUUUGAAACUGUUGGUCUUGAGUAUCGGAGAGGCAGGCGGAAUUCCUAGUGUAGCGGUGAAAUGCGUAGAUAUUAGGAGGAACACCAGUGGCGAAGGCGGCCUGCUGGACGACAACUGACGGUGAGGCGCGAAAGCGUGGGGAGCAAACAGGAUUAGAUACCCGCGUACA
RNAcentral lists this ribosomal RNA (447 nucleotides) under uncultured bacterium. Its description in RNAcentral is "partial 16S ribosomal RNA". It matches the Rfam family "Bacterial small subunit ribosomal RNA", at positions 330 to 797 of the family's 1533-position model. The record is from RNAcentral.